AAGCUUACAUGCUUCCAUCAGAUAAUGAUAUAGAAGAGUGUCUUGCAUUGGUGAGAGAAAAAAGUUUCAUAUCACUAAACCAACGUUGUGACACAGUUCUUCACUUUCUGGCCAUAAAAGGAAAUGUUGCUGCUUUUAGAGCACUUAUUAAAGAAGGUCUUCUUAGUAUAGAAGCACUUAGAAAGAAGAAUGUCAAAGGAUGUACAGCAUUGCACGAAGCCGCGAGAUAUGGACAGAAGGAGGUGGCAGAAAUAAUGGUAAUGCAAGACAAUGAUUUAGUUCAUUUAAAGGAUGAAGCUGGGGAAACGCCAUUAUACUUUUGGAGGAUUUUGGGAGGAUUUUGGGAGUGAUUGCUUUGCUAAGAGAAAUGACGGUUGCACUGUUCUUCACGCUGCUAUUGACGGUGAACAUUACCGUUUGGCAAUAAGCAUAUUAUCCAGAUAUCCUGGCCUUGCGGAAGAACAUGAGCAAAAGGGAAUGAGUGCAUUGAACUUAUUAGUCAUCAUUCAAGAGUAGAUCGGACUACACUAAUUUUAGCCGAUCCGAGCCUUUCAAGUUGUCAGAGCCAUACGUACUCUUUCCAUUUCAACUUGUCGAAGCUAUAUUCUAUCGUGGUAUGUUU
Nicotiana tabacum (common tobacco) is the source of this 622-nucleotide non-coding RNA. Lineage: Eukaryota; Viridiplantae; Streptophyta; Magnoliopsida; Solanales; Solanaceae. The record is from RefSeq and is a predicted model, not a curated record.